This is a long non-coding RNA of Esox lucius (northern pike), 1226 nucleotides long. The record is from Ensembl. NCBI's taxonomy places the organism in Eukaryota, Metazoa, Chordata, Actinopteri, Esociformes, Esocidae.
UAUAUAUUAAUUUUUUUUCUUUUCAAAAAUGUGUACAAACAUGGCCAAUUCUAGGCAUAAGCAACAUAAGUAGACUGCAGUUGUCAACAAAUGUGGACAUAUCCUUGAGCGGCAGGCCAUCCCAUGGAAAAAAAGCAUCUCAGUCAUGGUUAAGCUUUAUGUGGUGGACUGACAUUAAAAGCAGCGGCAGCCAGGAACUUUUGCAGUGUCACAGGCAGACACAGGUCACAAGGGACAUGGGAUAGAUGGUUUGAUGUAGAAGGAGAGAGCAAUGGGGAAAGAUUAUCAGUUUUGCAGUAGUGUAAGAUGUAUGUGUGGGCUGACAGUGUAAUGACUGAGGAAAGAGAGGAGACAAAAAUGGUCACACAACUUGAGUGGGUAAGUGGUGAGAUUAAUGGACACAGCAUCUAGUAAAGAUUAGAUCAAGUGCAUUGCCUGCUUUAUAAGUAGGGCUUGACCACCUGAAGGAAUAUACACUGAUCAGCCAUAACAUUAUGACCAUCUGCUUAAUAUUGUGUAGGUCCCCCUUUUGCUGCUAAAACAUCCCUGACCCAUCCCGAGGCAUGACUCAACUAGACCUCUGAAGGUGUGCUGUGGUAUCUGGCACCAAGACGUUAGCAGUCCUGGCGCAUUAUCCUCCUGAAAGAGGCAAGUGCCAUCAGGGAAUACCAUUGCCAUGAAAGGGUGCACAUGGUCUGCAACAAUGCUUAGGCUUCAGGUUUGAGUGGAUAUUGUAAGGUCUGUACCCCGUUCACCUCACUCAUCUCUGGGAACCAGCGCACCUCCUAGACCUCAACCAUCCACUCCAUCUGAACACACCACUCUUCCCGCCUCACAAUCAGCUGAAUACUGAUCACUUGUGUCACUUCGUUUUCUCCCACUAUUUAGUUCAUUCACUCCCAGCUUUCCGAUUGUGAGGUAUUGAUUAUUUGUUUCCUGCAACUUUACUUAGCCCUUUCUGGAUUGAUUACAGUUUUUGGAUUUUUGUGUACCGACCUGCCCGAUCUACCUUUGACUCCGAUUCUCCAGUCUGGCUACUUUUGCCUGUCUUUUGGACUACUGUGCUUUGACCUUCUAUCUGACUGAGAUUUGGAGACCUGCCAAGCCCUUUUGAACCUCAGCCUGUAUCUGUGCCUUCCCAUGUAUGAGCCCAGCCUGUACUUCUGACCACGCUUCAGCUGUCACCUGUUAUCAAUAAAAGCAGUGCACACCGCAUGUGGAACCAC